AUGGAGUCACAGACAGUUCAGACACAGACAGUUCAGAACUUAGUUAACAACUGGAGUUUCAGUAAAUACUUUGUACUUUUCUUAGUACAAGCAUUGGUCUGCAGCUUACUUAGCAGCUGGCUAAUCAGCCCCAUGACCAAUCUUAUAAAUACAGAAUUCCUUGUCUCUCUGAAAGGGCUCAUCACAUGGAACUUAUGGCAAAAUCUAAUUGACAUACUACUUUCCCAUGAGUUUUUGAUUGUUGUAAUUUUAAUAUUGUAUUUCCUUGAAGAACUCAAUUCUCAGUCAAACCAACCAAUUGCUCCCUCUCAUAUUCAACAAAUGGAAAAACUAAAUACUAGACAGGGCCUUAUAGAGGAAAGUCAGGGAGAGAUUGUAACUUUUAUAAGAAGCAUUAACAGAGAGUUAAGAACAAUAUCAAAAUCUCUGUCCCACCCUGCUAUGGACAAUAACCCUCUUAACGAACCCAACCCUCCCUCUGCCCCCUUGGCCUCAGAAAACUCUAAUCAAUCAACUCUGAAUUCACACCCUACCGGUACUUCUGAUCUUAAUCCCUCUACUUCACACCUUACUGAUUCCUCCAAUCCAAACACCUCUGUAUCCUUUCAUACUUCUUCCUUGGCUCCUCCUUCUCAUCCUACACAAUCUACUUUAAGUUCACAUUCCAACCUAAAUUUACAUCCUACCUCUGAAUUUUCUGGCACAAUGGGACAACAACAAACCCUUCCUUUUAAUGUGCCCAACUUUUCUAUGUCUCAGACUUACCCAAUUGAAAAUGGAGCAAGAAACCUAGAAACAGGAGUACCAAAUAAUUCAGAUAGUUUAUUUCCUUUAAGGGAAGCACCCACUUUUAAUAAAAAUGGAAACUUGAUAUCUGUAAGACAUCAUACACCUUUUAGCCCUGAGGAUUUAAAAAAAUUGAAGGAAGAUAUGCCAUCAUUUGAGGACGAACCAAUAUUAAUUAUAAAAAAAUUAGAGAACAUAUUCAGAACUUUUGACCCCACUUGGUUAGAUGUUGAGAAUAUAUUAGAAGAAUUAUUAACAAAGAGAGAAAAAAAUAAAAUCGUUUCUCUGGCUAAUCAAAAACAAGGUAAAAGAGGACAUUAUUGGCCAACUGAAGAUCCACAUUGGAACUCCAAUGUUGAAUUAGAUUACACAAAACUAAACCAGGCCAGAGAAGCAUUAUUGACAGCCGUGAGAACUUGCUCUGAUAGACCUGAAAAAUGGUCAAAAUUUGAAAAAACCCGACAACAUAUUGAUGAAACACCUUCCCAGUUUAUGGACAGACUUAUUGACGUAGGGAAUACAUAUAUGGACCUUGAUUUAUCCAGAGAAAGAGACAGACAAAUACGUAGGCAAUUUGUUAAAAAUUGUUGUUCAGUGGUAAACGACUACUUUAGAACUAGCUGUCCUAAUUGGGACUCUAUGGACCUCGAUGAACUAAGGAGAGUGGCAACCUAUGUUUAUAAAGGUCGUGUAAAAAGACCUGAGGAAGACGAUACAUCAGUGGAAGAUUUAAAGAAAGAAAUUGAAAUGUUAAAGAGACAAUUGAAAAAUAAGGGAGAGACUAUAGCCCCUUUACGGGAAUUCACAAAUAAAUCAAUAACUUGCCACUUCUGUGAGAAGAAGGGCCAUAAAAUGAUGGAAUGUAGAACCUUUCUUAAGAUGAUUGGAAGGAAUACGCAGUUUAAUAAUAGCUUUAGAAAUAACUAUAGAAAUGAUGAUAAUGGUAAUAGAAACCAGAACAACUAUAAUGAUAAUAAUAGUCAUAGAAACCAGAAUUUUAGAAAUUAUAAUGAUGAUUAUGGAAACAACUAUAAUGAACAUAGAAAUAAGAACUUUAGAAACCAGAAUUAUAGAAAUAGGAACUGGGAAAAUAAUGACAAUGCUCCAAAUGAAGAAAAUGAUAAUACUCAACAACAAUAUAUGAGAAAUGGAGCUCGUCCAAAACAUACUCGAGGUGCUAAUGACCCUCAGAGAGGUGCCCUUCAGGAGGGUGCCCAGGGAACUUCCCAGUAUAAUGAAGAUGAUUCUUCUUAG
Long non-coding RNA from Monodelphis domestica (gray short-tailed opossum), 2040 nucleotides. Lineage: Eukaryota; Metazoa; Chordata; Mammalia; Didelphimorphia; Didelphidae. The record is from Ensembl.